GGGUCGAUGGCGUAGCUGGUUAUCGCAUCUGUCUAACAUAGCUAUUGUACGAUGCAUGUUCACAGAAGGUCCUCAGUUCGAACCUGGGUCGACUCA
Molecule: transfer RNA, 96 nt
Filed under: Armillaria gallica
Lineage: Eukaryota; Fungi; Basidiomycota; Agaricomycetes; Agaricales; Physalacriaceae
Description: tRNA-Val
Source: RNAcentral